AUAUUCUCUCCAAUAUAUUUUAUUCCAUUCCCUUUCAAAUUACCCCCAAAAAAAAAAAUCAAAAAACAUAAUGACAUUAAGGUGAAAUGUAGCCAGGGUUUAUCCUCAUCCGUGAAUUAGAAAAAUUAAGGAGUUAAGGAGCAAUUUAUUUUAUCACUUUGGAUGUUGCCUAGGGUUUAUUCUUCCGUGAAUUAGAGAAAUUGGGGCAUUGAAGCAAAUAUUCAUCCGUAAAUUGGUUUAGAGAAAGCAAAUAUUCAUCCGCAAAUUGGUUUACUUUUACAUGUUUGGAUACAAUUGGGGAAUUGGGGAAUUUUAUGCAAACACAAUUUCUCUCACACUCACACUUUCUCUCUCUCGAAUUUGGUAUCGGUGUAUAAACUUUUGAUUGAGACAAAGAAACUGAAUCUUUCGGCGAUUUGCGAUUCCAAAAUGCGGUAAUCAUCGGUUACUAAAGUUGCUCCAGAUUCAUUUUUCUCUAAGAUCUACUCUACUGGAACAAUGAGUCUUUCAAGUAGGACGAUAUAUGUUGGUAAUCUUCUGGGUGGUAUUCGUGAGCAAGAAGUGGAGGAUUUGUUCUACAAGUUUGAAGAGGCUCGUGAUACUGAUGAUGCUAUUCGAGGGCGUGAUGGCUAUGAUUUUAAUGGGCAUCGCUUGAGAGUUAGUAAACUACUAACAGCUUAUAGGACACACACAUAUGAAUCAACCAUAUGUGUGACUUGCAUUUUUCUGAAUCAAGUUUUGGUUACUGGAUUGCCCCAGUCAGCGUCCUGGCAGGAUCUCAAGGUGAGUGGUGUAUGAGAGGAUCAUAUGCGUCGAGCUGGGGAUGUUUGUUUCUCAUAAGUUUUUCGUGAGGGGAGUGAUCCUCAUUACCCUCUGUGAAUUCACUUACGCGGUGGUUUGGGGAGCCUGUUAAAGCUGCUAUAAUCAACUCCAAUUCUUUUCUCACUAAUGCCCAUGGCUACCCUUGUCUGUCCAAACGACAUCAAAAUCUAGUGACACUGUUUUUCAACCACUCAAUUCAGCAAUAUAGGUAUUCCAAUUGAAAAAUAACUCGAGCGCGGCAUUCUAAAGCAUGCCUUCAGCUAACCAGCAAUACAGAAAAUCAGAGUUGCUACAUUCUCUAAGAGAAACAGAUAAGACACAUCAGGUUUACAGCGGGAACCAUUAUUAGUGUUCUUGUGCAAAUAGACAAAAUUGUUGGAUGACCGAAGUUGUUACAGGCACUUUUCAGUAGCUUGGACAGUAGUGACAUAAAUCAUGUGGAAGGACCCAUGGAUGCUUUAUCAAAGGUGCCAUUUCUCUGUUAUUUAACACGAAUUUCACUUGAUAGUAUCCCAUAGUAUACUGAAACUUGAAUGCCAAUAUAGCAAAUUGUUGCAUAACUACAACGAGAAACAACUAUUGUAUUCAUCAAAUGAGACCCUUAAGAUUGAUAAAUUUUAUGUGUAGCGUAAGUUGUAAAGGUAAAUGAUCUUUGUGUCUCCUUACAUUGUCAGUGAAUGUGAAUGUAAAGUGGUAAAAUAGCCAAAGUGGACAUGUGGAAUAGGUGUUUUGUACAACUAAUACUUAACUGGCGCACUGACGAUCUUCAGCAAUGCAGAUAUGCGAGGAUGUCCCAUAACUUCUCAAUUCUGAUAUUUUUGGAUUAUCUGAAUAACCCUUUACUAUAUUCCUUCCAAUGUUUCUCCAGGUUGGCUAAUUCUUUCCUUAUUGUAAUUCAUUUAUUGGCUCAGUUUUUUAUUUGGUUGUUUAUUUUGUCAUAUAGUUUACUAUUAAUCAAUUCUGGCUUUAUAGUUUCAUUCUAACUCGAUCUUUCAAUGGACAAAUUUUCCAGUCACCUCACAUUUCUCUUAGAAAGCUGUCAUUGAGUUCUGUUAAUCAAUAUAUAUAUGAUGAUGCCUAAAAUUUUGCAUCUCUCCAUGGAUAAAUACUUUCAAGGUUUGUUUUUUCUUGCCAAUGACCCUACUCCAGAAGUGCGAAAGUUGGAAAAAUGCAGUGAUCAAAUUUGAAUGGUGGCCGCCACAAGUCAACUCGAUACAGAUUGAAGUGAAUGAUGAAGAAUUUUUGAACUAUUCUAAUAUACGUUUAAAUACAUUUGAUUCUGUGUUGAACUUAUAAGUACAGAUCUUUAAAAUGUUGUUUAGUAAUUAGUAUGUGUAGUCAUAGACAUUUUUUUGAAGUUCAUUGCAAAUCUAUGCAUUUGAAUUUGUUAUUAGCUAACUGAUGCAUGAGAUUAUAUAUAUGUAUGUACAUGUAAUGUGAUUAGUGAUGAAUUGCCACACGUGUUGU
Capsicum annuum is the source of this 2289-nucleotide RNA transcript. RefSeq lists it as uncharacterized. Lineage: Eukaryota; Viridiplantae; Streptophyta; Magnoliopsida; Solanales; Solanaceae. The record is from RefSeq and is a predicted model, not a curated record. The transcript is spliced from 10 exons.